Molecule: long non-coding RNA, 2159 nt
Filed under: Arabidopsis lyrata
Lineage: Eukaryota; Viridiplantae; Streptophyta; Magnoliopsida; Brassicales; Brassicaceae
Description: long non-coding RNA (ALYR_LNC000084)
Source: RNAcentral
AUGACACCAAAUGAGCAGAAGUUGUACAACCACGAUUAGUUUCUGUAAGCAACUUAGGAGCUUGUAGACGUUAGAUUCCCUUAUUCUUUCAGGAGGCUAAGCAAUGAAGUAGGACUGUGUAAUUUAUUCAUUACUUGGUCUCUUAAGGUAUAUCGAUUUGUUUAUUGAAACUGAAGAUUAGAGGCAAUUUAUUUGCUAAGGUUUGUUUUUUUUGUUGUUGUGAGUGAUUUAGGUGGAGAAGUGUGUAAUGGUUAGGAAGAAAGAUGUCUGUUUUGUAAAUACAUUUAUAUCCACUUUAUUUGCAAGUUUGAUUGAAUUACUGAACCAAAUCAGAAUCCAACUCACAAGCCACAAUGCCAUAAAACAUCGUUGGAGUUGUGGAGAAGAUGGAAAUAUAUCAAAUUGUCAUCUACAUACAAUUAUGUAACCACAGAGAGAGAAAGAUAGAUAGGAGUAACAUAAAGAUGUUUCUUGUGUUUGUCAAAUCUCAAGGAUCUUCAAAGAGUCAGCCACAACUUGAAGCUGCUUUUUCACUUUCCUCCACCUCCUCUCAUUUGCUCCAACUAUGAGUGUGUAGUAUCUGUCUGCAACAUCAAAUCAAUCAUAACACUUUUUUUUAUUCCUCACUUUCUUCUCUCAUUUAUCAGUAAAUCUAUAUCAUAAUCUGUGCUUACUGUUUCCAACUGCCACUGUUGCAAAGGAAGUGGUUGCAUAGAUGGGAGUUCUAAGUCCAUACUCAAACGUGUAAUAGUUCCUUCCAUCUUCCACCCUCUGCAUUUUCAUCUCUUAUUGUUUAUAAAGAUCCAAUCUCUCAACAACUUUGAUGAUUCUUUAAGAUGUUAACAAUCAUCUGACCUCUUUCAUAUCGUAAAUGGUAGCUACUUGGUUUGGUGCUGCAAACUUAUGCUUCACUAGAUCAUAAACCACCUGAUGAAGAUAUAAGAAUGAUGAACUAAUGUUAAUUCUCAAAUUACAUUCAUAGAAGGAAGCGGGAGAGUAAGAUGUGUAAUACAUACCUCUUCCAUAGGACCUACUUCACGGAUGUCGUUUUUCUCAAUUGGUAUGAACCUGACCCGAACAUUCUGCAGUUGCAAAUAUCUGUCUUUGAAGGCUGAAUCAUGCGCCCUGAAGUCAAAUUCCUAUAUGGUUUUGCGUGGAAAGAAAGAUCAUCUCAAAGCUUAUUCAUUUAAGUUUCAUCCUCACAACAACAAACGAAACAAAGCCAUAGCUUACCCACCCUCCAGUCUGAUGGGUAAUAGUAAGAAUACCCGUCUUCUCGAUCCACAAAAGGCGAGUAGCUUUUUGGUAUCUCUGCAAACAUGAUAUGAAUCAACACAGUUUAUGCUUUUGGUCCCAAAAGAAUGAAAAAGAGCGAUGAAAAAACUCUAUAUUUGCAGGAUUACCUUCAGCAAGAAGCAAAGCUGCUGGAAUUGAAGUUGCCACUAAGGUUCCUACUCCCACAAGAGCUUGCCUUCUCUUCCAAUUGCUUCCGCUGCCUUUUUGGUAAGCUAUUGAAUUGUUAAUAUAUAUAAAUCAGUCCACACAAGUCAAUGUAUUAUGACAAGGGAAAUGUCAACAAGAGUUUGGUUUCUUACUAUUCUCUGAGGAGUCAGCCUUGCCACCGGAUGAAAGUAAACAAGCUUUGAGUGAUGGAUUUGGACAGAGAAUCUCUGUCUGGUAAGAAAUUGAAUCAAUGUCUAUAUAAUCAGUGAAGAAUUAUAAUUUGUAUUUUUCAGAAAUCGAGAUGGAGUGGAAACAGAAGAGUGUAAUUAACCUUGUGGGAGAUUGUUGGUGAGACACCAUAGCGUAUUGAGAGUGACGAGACUGCUGCCAUAAUGGCUACAAUUCACAAGACUUUAGACGAGAUCAAUGAACAUUGCCUUAGUGUUCUUGUGUGUGGAUAAGACAUUUCUGAUUUUCGUCAUUUCUUUGCUUCUCCAUUCAUUAACAUGUGGAUAAAAGGAUAAUGAAAGAUUCAAACAAAUAUGUGGUGACAGAUCGGUUUAAGGUCAUUUACUGAUUAGUGAAGAUACUGCAUUUGUAUGUUUCCAUUUUAUAAUGAGAUUUUGUGAGAAGUCAAAAACAUAGAACUUGAAUUCAACAAUAAACUGCAACAAGAAUGUAUUGUAAAACGUUUUUGCCUCAAAUACUACAAUUAC